This 247-nucleotide ribosomal RNA is filed under the name uncultured Comamonas sp. Its description in RNAcentral is "partial 16S ribosomal RNA". It matches the Rfam family "Bacterial small subunit ribosomal RNA", at positions 796 to 1041 of the family's 1533-position model. Lineage: Bacteria; Pseudomonadati; Pseudomonadota; Betaproteobacteria; Burkholderiales; Comamonadaceae. The record is from RNAcentral.
CACGCCCUAAACGAUGUCAACUGGUUGUUGGGGAUUUAUUUUCUCAGUAACGAAGCUAACGCGUGAAGUUGACCGCCUGGGGAGUACGGCCGCAAGGUUAAAACUCAAAGGAAUUGACGGGGACCCGCACAAGCGGUGGAUGAUGUUCUUUAAUUCGAUGCAACGCGAAAAACCUUACCCACCUUUGACAUGUACGGAAUCCUUUAGAGAUAGAGGAGUGCUCGAAAGAGAGCCAUAACACAGGUGC